This 638-nucleotide long non-coding RNA is filed under the name Cyanistes caeruleus (blue tit). RNAcentral's name for it is "lncRNA (ENSCCEG00000014213.1)". The record is from RNAcentral. Lineage: Eukaryota; Metazoa; Chordata; Aves; Passeriformes; Paridae.
CCAUCUUAUGCUUAAAGAAAAGUAGCAUGGCCCUGUACAACCUAGGGUUUUUUGUAAAAAAAAUAUCCUUCAGUGUUUGAAUAUUCAGAGGUUUUUUUUCCACAUGAUUGACUUGCUCCUCUUCCCCAGAGCGCCAAACAGCUUCAGAGAAAGGAGUUUGCUGGAGAAUGGACUGUCUCUCCCACACACAGGUUUUGAAGGAUUUGUGUUAAGAAGGAGGAAUGAUGUGGAAAGGUUCAUCAGCUGCCUUUUGAGCUGGAGCAGAGUCCUAGUGUGCAGUCAUCACUCCUCAUCACCCUGUGCUUUGCAGGGCCUAAGCAAACCCAGCUUUCAUAACUCUUCCUCCUGGAGAUUAAACUAAAAUUGAUCCAUACUCUGGAAGCAAAGUAUUUUAUACUGGCUAGCACAGUAUGGCUGGAUUUCCCUGACCUAGCAAGUCCUGUCAUGGGCCAGGGAAGGUAUUCUCAAACAAGCAUUCAGAAACUGGGAUAUGUACCAAAAACUCAUGAAAUUUUCAAGAUUGAUAACUUUCAUUUUGUUUGCUUUUGCCUUCUGCUUUCAUACUGUUUCAACGGCAAGGCUUCCAGAUAUUGAUAACUUCAAUGGAUGGAGAAAAUAAAUGUUCUCAAUGAAUUACA